GUGGAUUAGAUACCCUGGUAGUCCACGCUGUAAACGAUGAAUACUAGGUGUGGGGGGACUGACCCCCUCCGUGCCGCAGUUAACACAAUAAGUAUUCCACCUGGGGAGUACGACCGCAAGGUUGAAACUCAAAGGAAUUGACGGGGGCCCGCACAAGCAGUGGAUUAUGUGGUUUAAUUCGACGCAACGCGAAGAACCUUACCAGGACUUGACAUCCAACUAACGAAGUAGAGAUACAUUAGGUGCCCUUCGGGGAAAGUUGAGACAGGUGGUGCAUGGUCGUCGUCAGCU
This 291-nucleotide ribosomal RNA is filed under the name uncultured bacterium. RNAcentral describes it as "partial 16S ribosomal RNA". It matches the Rfam family "Bacterial small subunit ribosomal RNA", at positions 773 to 1060 of the family's 1533-position model. The record is from RNAcentral.